This is a long non-coding RNA of Cebus imitator (Panamanian white-faced capuchin), 1083 nucleotides long. RefSeq lists it as uncharacterized. NCBI's taxonomy places the organism in Eukaryota, Metazoa, Chordata, Mammalia, Primates, Cebidae. The record is from RefSeq and is a predicted model, not a curated record. The transcript has 2 exons.
AUGCUGCUGCCCAGCGAUGUUGGGGUGCCCACGUUCUCCGGGUCCUCAAUCCAGUAGCCCCCAAACUGGGGCAGGAUGACCUGAGGAACCCGAACAUAAACCCUGCCAGCUGAUGAUGCAAUAGACGAAGGCGCUGAACUUCUCACCGCCCGUGAUACCAGCUCCUCAUCCUAGAAUGCCAAUUCCGGAAAACGACCCCUGGUCUCACCCAGCGCUCGUCUCUAGGCAAGGGGUCUGACCUCCAAGGCAUAAGCGGCACCCCUGCGCUUGGAAAUGGAACCUGAAGCUGAGAGCCGACUGCCCCCUGGAACCCAGGACAUAGCCUGACAGCCUCACGCUGUACAGGACAGGGAAGAGCCAGGCCACACGGCCAAGCCUGAGCUCCCACUGAGGCCUCCCCCAGUCUGCUCAGAAGCUGCCCUAAGGCAUGGAGCCAGGACCCCUUUGCUGCCCAUCCUGCACUAGGCUAACAAGGGCACAGUCACUCAGGGGCCGUGGCGAAGGUCAGAGUUAGAGGGUGUGAGACGGAAGACCCCAGCACCUGGCAGCUCCUCCUGCCUUCCUCUCGCCCUGGCCCCUCACCAGGGCCAUCUGGCCGCCCCCUCACCCACCCAGCCCACCUUGUUCUUCUGGGGUCCUGGCUUCUGCUCUUCAAGCUUGAUCCCCUAGAGAAACAAGGAAAACAGAAUCCACAGAAAAGCAAAGGUCAGAAGAAAGGGCGGGAGGAAGAGCACCUGGCCUCGCAGGGGUUAGUAACAGGAGCGGAGCCACAGCUGGCCCGUGCUGGGCUGGCACACCCCACACCUGGCCGCUGUUGGCCUCACAGCAGCCUCAGGUGAGGCGGCAGGGCCGCUGGGCUGACGGCACAGACUUGAGCCAGAUCACCAGGGUUCAAAUCCCAACACUGCCUCCUAUCAGCCUGAUGACCUUGGCGAGCCGCAGAAACCUCUCUGUGACUCAGUGUUCUCAUCCGUGAAAUGGGAAUGAUGGUGGUGUCCACUAUGGUGGUGAGGGUUCAGUCUUAACAAUGCGCUCAGCACUUGGAACGCUGAUUGCUGUAUAAUAAAUGCUGUGGGUCGUUAU